GGGGCCGAAUCAGCUUCGACGGGGGAACAGAGACACGGGAGGCGUGCCGAGGACCAUCUUGCUCGCUAAACAGAUGGAAACAACGUCAACUGCCAAUCAGCAGCUUGCACUCGCGGCUUAAAUAACCGCGACGUUCCCUCCGGGCAGCCCGCGGCCUUGAACGGAAUGCCAUUUUAGCGGGCUGGCGACCACCGGUGGCUCCGGACGGUGGUGGCGAGACGCUUCGGAGCUGGUCCUGGUCGGUUUGUGUAGCGUCUACACGCCCGGGACGAGACAUCAGACGCUGCUACGCACGUAGAAUCCCGCGGGGACGUUCUUUCGGACGGCGGUGCAAUUCCGCCCGGCUCCACCA
RNAcentral lists this transfer-messenger RNA (352 nucleotides) under Vicinamibacteria bacterium. It matches the Rfam family "transfer-messenger RNA". Rfam says of the family: Bacterial tmRNA, also known as 10Sa RNA or SsrA, is named for its dual tRNA and mRNA-like properties. Its role is to liberate the mRNA from a stalled ribosome. The record is from RNAcentral. RNAcentral also lists the same sequence under 1 other name. Lineage: Bacteria; Pseudomonadati; Acidobacteriota; Vicinamibacteria.